This 253-nucleotide ribosomal RNA is filed under the name uncultured bacterium. RNAcentral describes it as "partial 16S ribosomal RNA". It matches the Rfam family "Bacterial small subunit ribosomal RNA", at positions 524 to 776 of the family's 1533-position model. The record is from RNAcentral.
UACGUAGGGUGCGAGCGUUGUCCGGAAUUAUUGGGCGUAAAGGGCUCGUAGGCGGUUUGUCGCGUCGGGAGUGAAAUCUCCACGCUUAACGUGGAGCGUGCGGUCGAUACGGGCAGACUUGAGUUCGGCAGGGGAGACUGGAAUUCCUGGUGUAGCGGUGAAAUGCGCAGAUAUCAGGAGGAACACCGGUGGCGAAGGCGGUUCUCUGGGCAUGUCCUGACGCUGAGGAGCGAAAGUGUGGGGAGCGAACAGG